This 510-nucleotide ribosomal RNA is filed under the name uncultured bacterium. Its description in RNAcentral is "partial 16S ribosomal RNA". It matches the Rfam family "Bacterial small subunit ribosomal RNA", at positions 28 to 507 of the family's 1533-position model. The record is from RNAcentral.
GACGAACGCUGGCGGCGUGCUUAACACAUGCAAGUCGAACGAAGAGCGAUGGACGCUUGCUUCUAUCAAUCUUAGUGGCGAACGGGUGAGUAACGCGUAAUCAACCUGCCCUUCAGAGGGGGACAACAGGUGGAAACGACUGCUAAUACCGAAUACAAUCUAAUCUCGGCAUCGGGGAUAGAUGAAAGGUGGCCUCAACUGUUAAGCAAUCACGGAAGGAGGGGAGUGCGUCUGAUUAGCUAGUUGGAGGGGUAACGUCCCACAAAGGCGAUGAUCAGUAGCCGGUCGGAGAGGAUGAACGGCCACAUUGGGACUGAGACACGUCCCAGACUCCUACGGGAGGCAGCAGUGGGGAAUCUUCCGCAAUGGACGAAAGUCUGACGGAGCAACGCCGCGGGAGUGAUGACGGCCUUCGGGUUGUAAAGCUCUGUUAAUCGGGACGAAAGGCCUUCUUGCGAAUAGUGAGAAGGAUUGACGGUACCGGAAUAGAAAGCCACGGCUAACUACGUG